UGAGGAAUUUUGCGCAAUGGAGGAAACUCUGACGCAGCAACGCCGCGUGAGUGAAGAAGGCCCUCGGGUUGUAAAGCUCUGUCAGGUGGGAAGAACCCUCUGUAGUUGAAUAGGCUACAGAACUGACGGUACCUCUGAAGGAAGCACCGGCUAACUCCGUGCCAGCAGCCGCGGUAAUACGGAGGGUGCGAGCGUUAAUCGGAAUCACUGGGCGUAAAGCGCACGUAGGCGGUGUCGUAAGUCGGAUGUGAAAGCCCUCGGCUCAACCGGGGAACUGCAUUCGAUACUGUUGUUCUUGAGUACACGUGGAGUGGGCGGAAUGUGUCAUGUAGCGGGGAAAUGCUUAGAUAUGACACAGAACACCGAUCGCGAAGGCAGCUCACUAAGUUGUAACUGACGCUCAGGCACGAAAGCGUGGGGAUCAAACA
RNAcentral lists this ribosomal RNA (428 nucleotides) under uncultured prokaryote. RNAcentral describes it as "bacterial SSU rRNA". It matches the Rfam family "Bacterial small subunit ribosomal RNA", at positions 355 to 774 of the family's 1533-position model. The record is from RNAcentral.